GUGGGGAAUCUUCCGCAAUGGACGAAAGUCUGACGGAGCAACGCCGCGUGAGUGAAGAAGGUUUUCGGAUCGUAAAGCUCUUUCGUUAGGGACGAACGUGCUCUUUGUGAAUAAUGAGGAGUAAUGACGGUACCUAAAUAAGAAGCCACGGCUAACUACGUGCCAGCAGCCGCGGUAAUACGUAGGUGGCAAGCGUUGUCCGGCAUUAUUGGGCGUAAAGCGCGCGCAGGCGGGAUAUCAAGUCUGUCUUAAAAGUGCGAGGCUCAACCUCGUGAGGGGACAGAAACUGGUAUUCUUGAGUGUCGGAGAGGAAAGUGGAAUUCCAAGUGUAGCGGUGAAAUGCGUAGAGAUUUGGAAGAACACCAGUGGCGAAGGCGACUUUCUGGACGAUGUCUGACGCUGAGGCGCGAAAGCUAGGGGAGCGAACGGGAUUAGAUACCCCGGUAGUCC
This 450-nucleotide ribosomal RNA is filed under the name uncultured bacterium. Its description in RNAcentral is "partial 16S ribosomal RNA". It matches the Rfam family "Bacterial small subunit ribosomal RNA", at positions 354 to 796 of the family's 1533-position model. The record is from RNAcentral.